This 552-nucleotide ribosomal RNA is filed under the name Thrips setosus. RNAcentral's name for it is "LSU rRNA". It matches the Rfam family "Eukaryotic large subunit ribosomal RNA", at positions 585 to 944 of the family's 3401-position model. Lineage: Eukaryota; Metazoa; Arthropoda; Insecta; Thysanoptera; Thripidae. The record is from RNAcentral.
GAAGCUGCACUUCUGCUUAGUAGCAUGUCGCGGCUCGUUGGGAGGCCAGUCUAAGGCCCGCGGUGGAGACUUCACCCUUCUUCGGAAAGGUGUCGACCCGUGGUGUCCCGGCUGGCGCUCGACGGUGCUGUACGGGCGGGGCCUCUUGCCGUGUGCAUAAAAAGAUGCUAUAUAGCACGGUUGGUCCCGCCGGUCCGCGGCACUUCUGCUUUCGAUCCCUGUCCGUCCCGUCUUGAAACACGGACCAAGGAGUCUAGCAUGUGCGCGAGUCAUUGGGCUUACGAAACCUAAAGGCGAAAUGAAAGUGAAGGGACGAGUUCUCUCGUUCUGAGGGGUGAUGGCCGCGCUUUCAUGCCGACCCGCAACCCCGGGGCGUCACAUCCUCACUGAGGAGUGACGCACCUUGAGCGUACAUGUUGGUACCCGAAAGAUGGUGAACUAUGCCUGGCCAGGGUGAAGCCAGGGGAAACCCUGGUGGAGGCCCGCAGCAAUUCUGACGUGCAAAUCGAUUGUCAGAGCUGGGUAUAGGGGCGAAAGACUAAUCGAACCAUC